Molecule: long non-coding RNA, 1697 nt
Organism: Meleagris gallopavo (turkey)
Lineage: Eukaryota; Metazoa; Chordata; Aves; Galliformes; Phasianidae
Source: Ensembl
AUGCAGAGUGUAUGCAGACCAACGGUCCAAACUGAGUCUUCUGUCUUGCUGCAUCUGAGAUGGCCAGCUGACCAACUGAAGUAUCGGCCUCAGCUACUAAGAAAAGUGAUUAUAUGCAGUUCUUCACACCAGUAUAUUUUUAAGUACGACAGAAGCCUUCACCACUGUUGAAGGACUGCUCUGUACAUGCAUUCUUUUAUGGAAGAGCUCUUGACUAAGAUCUCAGUAUUUCAGAAUCAGUGUAAUGAAAGUGUUUCCUUUGACUUCAGCUUUCUGUCUUCAAAAAACUACUUAACUAGACUUGAAAAACUGCAAAGAUUCAGAGUAAGGGUAACAUACUCGUCUUACGACACAUAAUCUCAUUUUAUUUAAUUUUAAGGAUAUCUGAAUUUUGCAGCUAGAGUCAUUCUUCAAGAAAAUUCAACAUUUUUGAAAGCUGUUGGUUUUCCCAAAGAAUUCAGGAAUUAGAAAAGUAUGCUUUGUUACAAGGUUAUUAGACAAAUGUACCUGUAGUGACUUUUAUACAGGUAUAUACAAGAGAAAAUACAAGAGGAUCUUCAGCUACAUUUGGAUGAGCUAGUUUGGAUUAAAAUACAUCUCCUCUGAAUUUGAAUGAAGUAGAAACAUAUGUUUAUGAGUUCAUGAAGUUUAAAAUCCCAUUCAUAGGAUUCAAAAGGCCAAAAUAGAAAAUAGAUAUUGGUCUACCAUUGGCAUUUCAUAACAUUUCAGUUUGCCAUGUCUUUAAUUAGUAGCAUUUCCAGAAAGUCAAAAGAGUUAUUUAUGGCAAAGUAUGUAAGUAUCUAGUUGUUUUGCUUUCUUCCACUUGAUAUGAAUUCAUAACACAAUGUGAAUUAUUUAAUGCUAGUUUAUUAUAAUGUUGGAAAAGUUAUAUGUAUGAGAACCGCUUAAAUGUUUCUGCGUUUGGAAAGUUCUGGAAAAUUGAAAAAAAAAAAAUAAAUUAAUGCCAGUGCUUCUUAAAUCUAGGUCCUCCAUCUUGUUUCUGUUAGCCACGAUCUAUAUCUAUUUAAAUUUCAUGCAGACGUAGGAAACUAAAAUUAUUAAAUAUGAAAAAUAAUUUUUGAAAUUAAUAUCAUUUCCUGCUUUAUUGAAAGAGCUUUUUCGUGAUCCAUCUGUAGUGGGGCAUCAUUUGCCUUCCAGCCUUCCUGCCUCUUUUGACCAGUAACUAGUAAAGUGUCAGAAUAGCAUAAUAGCAAAAUUUUGCCAAACUACUCUCUUAGUCCCUAGUGAAAGAUCCGUGGCCAAAGGUAUCCCUGUGUUUACAAACCUUAAUAGAUCUUGUGCUAUUUAGACUCAAACCCAAUCCAUUGAUACAUGAGAUCCAUUUCUCCUUAUUAGUAGUUGAAAGAAAUUGCCUUAAGACCAGUGAUUAAAGUAUUUCCACCUUUACCUUACACUAGUCACUAAAGAUGAUUUUAUUAAUGUUUUCAAAUAUAUCCUGAAGUGGAAGGUCUAUGAAUAGAACGUAUAAAAAGUGAGAGGAAUGUUAAUGUGCUAAGACCCUGAAAUUAGCUAAAGGCUAAGGGAUUCAAGGAACCUGCUCAAAAAGACCAGACUUGAUUGAUAGUAGAUAGGAGAAUUUUACAUGACAUCCUAAACAUGAAGUAAAAAAAAAAAAGAAUAAAUAAAGAACUGUGAAAUACAAAAUCAUACAGGAUGCCUGUUCUAUAGUUUUGCAA